UCCUGAGUAAAAGGAAUAUUUCAUAGGAAAUAUGAGACAAGAUCAUUUCCUUGCAGGAUAAAGCAUAACAGGGAAGGAUUUGUGGGGAUAUUCUCAGAGCACUCACUCACUGCUUCUCACGGACUCCCGGGCUACAGAGAAAUACCCAGCACACCCUAGGGCAUUCUCCAGAAAAAACUGGUGGAGAGAACUCCAGAUACACAGAAAAACCUUAAACAGUUUUGCAAACUAUAGGGUGUCUAGGAAGUCGAUUAAAGUUCAUCCUUAUCACCCCAUAAGUGGUUACCAGCCCCAGGAAGAUGGACGACUGGGCUCUUCGCCAGAUCAAAUUCUCUCCAUUAGGCAGUUUGGAGGGUAUGAAGCAUCCAGCAGGUUGGAUGUUGACCCACAGGCAUCAAUCUCGGACAAUUUUUUGUUGGCUUAUUGACUGUGAUGAUCCCUCAGCACCAAAGAAAACCACCAGACGGAAGAAGAGAGC
Neogale vison (American mink) is the source of this 478-nucleotide long non-coding RNA. RefSeq lists it as uncharacterized. The transcript is spliced from 4 exons. The record is from RefSeq and is a predicted model, not a curated record. Lineage: Eukaryota; Metazoa; Chordata; Mammalia; Carnivora; Mustelidae.